This 468-nucleotide ribosomal RNA is filed under the name uncultured bacterium. RNAcentral describes it as "bacterial SSU rRNA". It matches the Rfam family "Bacterial small subunit ribosomal RNA", at positions 329 to 793 of the family's 1533-position model. The record is from RNAcentral.
GACCAGACUCCUACGGGAGGCAGCAGUGAGGAAUAUUGGUCAAUGGGCUUACGCCUGAACCAGCCAAGUCGCGUGAGGGAAGACUGCCCUAUGGGUUGUAAACCUCUUUUGUCAGGGAGCAACGCCGGCUACGUGUAGCCGGACUGAGAGUACCUGAAGAAAAAGCAUCGGCUAACUCCGUGCCAGCAGCCGCGGUAAUACGGAGGAUGCGAGCGUUAUCCGGAUUUAUUGGGUUUAAAGGGUGCGCAGGCGGAUUUUUAAGUCAGCGGUCAAAUCGUGGGGCUCAACCCCAUCCAGCCGUUGAAACUGGGGAUCUAGAGUGUGCGAGAGGUAUGCGGAAUGCGUGGUGUAGCGGUGAAAUGCGUAGAUAUCAGGAGGAACACCGGCGGCGAAGGCGGCUUACUGGACUGUAACUGACGUUGAGGCUCGAAGGCGUGGGGAGCAAACAGGAUUAGAUACCCGUGUAAG